CCCACGGCGUGGGGGAGGCUCAGGCGUGGCGGGCUGCGGGUCCCGAGCCCUGCCCCGCGGGGAGGCAGCUGAGGCCAGGUGAGAAUUUGAGCGCCUGCCGGCACUGCUGGGGGACCCGACGCACCCUCCGCAGCUGCCGGCCCGGGUGCUAAGCCUUACUUCACUGCCCCGGGCGGGCGGCUCCGCCGGCUGCUCUGAGUGCUGGGCCGCGGAGCCCACGCCCACCCGGAACUCGCGCUGGCCCGGAAGCGCCGCGCGCGGCCUCGGUUCCCGCCCGCGCCUCUCCCUCCACACCUCCCCGCAACUGAGGGAGCCGGCUCCGGCCUCGGCCAGCCCAGAAAGGGGCUCCCACAGUGCAGGGCCGGGCUGAAGGGCUCCUUAAGGGUGGCCAGAGUUGGCGCCAAGGCUGAGGAGGUGCCCAGAGCGAGCGAGGGCUGCCAGGGCUGCUAGCAGGCUGUCACCUCUCAAUAGCAGUUUUGUGUAUGGGAUCUAGCCCCUCCCUAAGAGGUUGAUUCUAAGGAAGCCAACAGCCGUGUUGUGAGUACCCAAUGGAAAGUCUGUUGUGGCAGAAAACUGAUGUCUCCAGCCAACAGCACUGAGGCCCUGAGACCUGCCAACUGUCAUGCUGGAGUGCUGGAGUGCAACUCGAACAGCCUCAAUCUCCUGGGCUCAAGCAGUCCUCUCACUUCAGCCUCCAGAAUUGCUAGGAUUACAGGCAAGAGCCACGACACCUGGCCAAGGUUACAUCUCAAGGAGAAGGAUUGCCAGAUCAAAAGUCUUGCAGUUAACCAGGCGUGGUGGCAGAUACCUGUAAUCCCAGCUAUUCGGGAGGCUGAGGCAGGAGAAUCGCUUGUACCCGGGAGGCAGAGGUUGCAGUGAGCUGAGACCGCGCCAUUGACUCCUGCCUGAUGACAAGAGAGAAUCUACGUCUCAACAACAACAACACGCUUGGGCACUGUAUUAACUCCGUAAUCGGUUUAUUCAUAAUGCUGCAUCAUCCAACCAUCAUCCAACCUAUUUAUCAUUCACAAUGCCACCUGUGAAUACUGGCUUCCGUUGACUCUUUCAAGAAUUGCUACUGGGCCUCACCAAUGUUGACCACAAAUGCAAGUCAUACUGAGAGUAUGUAGUACAUGUGAAUAAUAAUUAGUUUUCUUGUCAUAUUAAACAUAUCAUUCAUACUAGUAUGAACAUAGAGAAAUCCUUCGAUUGUAUCUUUUCGUGAGCUCUUUAUUUACUGUUUUCCUAUAUAGAAUGUGGUCUUUUUAAAUGUUUGUCUUAUCCCUGCCUUUCACAAACUAACACCAGUUGGGAAGAUAGGCAAGAGUCCCCUGGAAGAGUAGGAAGAGUUGCCUUAUUUGCGCAAGGAUUGUCUGAUGUGUAUUUGACAUGACAUAAGACUAACCGAGAAGAGCACUCCUGAUAGUAUUGAUUAGAGGCAACAGAGAACACUAAUAAAAGAACCAGUUGGCAUUGUAGGGAAGGCAAGUGUGGCUAUUCCAACAAUGCUGACAGAUAUGUGGCUUGGAGCCUACAGAGUGGGUGAGGUGAUCACCUUGAAUUCCUGUGGCAGAGGAUGAACAGGGUAAUGGAAUGUUUACCACCAUUCCUCUCAUCUUUGUCGCUGUAAACCAGAAGAAACACUGUAGUCAAAAUGCAUAUUGGUGAGGAAGAACUGUUUACAACACGGGAGUCUUAAGGAAAUUCAGCGACUAGAGGUUGACAGUUGGGUAGGGACCUGCACAUGUAACCAGCAGGUGCUUUUGAAAUAAGAAGAUUUUAGACUACAAUUUGGGAAGUACUGUUCUUUUAGAGCUUAAUGUAUUAUAAUUUUCAAAAUUUUCUUUCUAUAAGUUUUAUUCACCUGAAUUUCUCACUCGAAGUCAAUUUACAUUCAAUCAUAAUGGACAAUAAAAUUGAUAAAAUGUUUCCCCUUACAUUUAUAGGUUAUGUUACAAUGAACAGAACAUCUUGCUUUAUUUUCCAUUCUUGAAUCAUUUUCUUAGAUUAUAUUCCAAGGGAAAUGAUUUCUGGAUCAAAACACUUCAGCAUUGUGUUGGAUCUUGAUCACUUUGUCAUUUUUAAAAUUUUGACUUCUUAUAGCUGAUUGAUCCUGCAGAUAUAGGUGGACAUAGAAGAUCAAAGGGAACCUCAAAUGGGAGAGACUGGGUCUGGAGGUCCAUGUGUGUCCCAGGCUCAUGAUGUUCUACCUAGAUGGCACUGCUGGCCUCAGCCAUUCCAAGUUACCAAAGCCAGACCUGGAAAAUUUCAAGGAAGACAUUUCAUAAUGUGAACUGCCUUUAGGCAUAGGUCAGGAAGGUAUUGUCCUACGUACAAAAAUUCAUUCCAGCUCACAAAAUAACUCGCUUUAGGAAACUAAGUAUAUUUUCUUCCGUCUCUGAGCUAUAGUUUUCUUAAAUAUAGGUCACGAAGAAUAAAAUAUGUUUCUCACAAUUGUUGGGAAGGUUAAAAUGAAAUAAUGUAUUUGAAGGCAUCCUGUGUAUAGAAUAUUUUAUAUAUUCAAAAUGUUAAUUUUCUUUCUUCCUAAAGGGUCAAAUUCUUCACUUUUCAAAAGUUUUUUUAAAAAGCUUUUUAAUAUAUGAAAAAUACUUUUUGAAGAAAUUUUUGAAGGGAAAAAUUUCUGCCUCUGACUUUCUCUAUUUUAUUCUCUUUUCCUAUUGUUUCACCGUGCCUUAUAUUCUUUCUCCAUUCUUCUCAAAAUGUGUUCCUCAGGAAUAUGCUGAAUUAUUCUCAUACAAGUAUGAAUCCAUAUCACUAUAAUUCAUUUCCUAGUAAUUUAUUCAUUAUGGUAAAUAAGUAUUUAUUGAGUACUCCUUUCCCAGAUGUUAAGAUAGAUAUUGAGUAUCAAAUGGUAACAGGGCCAGCUUCAUGUGUGUGCAUGACCUGGGCAGUCCUGUUCCCAGAAGCCAGCUUUGCUUGGUUCAAUACUCUGCCAUUCCCAUCUUGAAAUUCUUACAACUUUGCAUAAGGGAUUCAUACUUUGCUUUCCACUGGAUGUCACAGAUUAUAUAGCCUGGCCUGGGUGCUGAAUCCAUAAGUCACACUUCCUGUCCUCAAUAAGUUUAUGUGAAACAUAUGCAUUUAAAAUAAUAAGCCACCAA
Molecule: long non-coding RNA, 3122 nt
Organism: Pan troglodytes (chimpanzee)
Lineage: Eukaryota; Metazoa; Chordata; Mammalia; Primates; Hominidae
Exons: 5
Source: RefSeq, a predicted model, not a curated record